CCUACGGGAGGCAGCAGUGAGGAAUAUUGGUCAAUGGACGAGAGGCUGAACCAGCCAAGUCGCGUGAAGGAAGACGGCCCUAUGGGUUGUAAACCUCUUUUGUCGGGGAGCAAAGCGAGUCACGUGUGACUCAUUGAAAGUACCCGAAGAAAAAGCAUCGGCUAACUCCGUGCCAGCAGCCGCGGUAAUACGGAGGAUGCGAGCGUUAUCCGGAUUUAUUGGGUUAAAGGGGUGCGUAGGCGGAGUGGAAAGUCAGUGGUAAAAUGGCGGGGCUCACCCCCGGACUGCCGUUGAAACUGGAUGCCUUGAGUGCGCGAGAAGUAUGCGGAAUGCGUGGUGUAGCGGUGAAAUGCAUAGAGAUCACGCAGAACUCCGAUUGCGAAGGCAGCUUACCGGCGCGCAACUGACGCUCAUGCACGAAAGCGUGGGUAUCAAACAGGAUUAGAUACCCCUGUAGUC
This 459-nucleotide ribosomal RNA is filed under the name uncultured bacterium. Its description in RNAcentral is "partial 16S ribosomal RNA". It matches the Rfam family "Bacterial small subunit ribosomal RNA", at positions 338 to 795 of the family's 1533-position model. The record is from RNAcentral.